GACGAACGCUGGCGGCGUGCUUAACACAUGCAAGUCGAACGGAAAGGCCCUGCUUUUGUGGGGUGCUCGAGUGGCGAACGGGUGAGUAACACGUGAGUAACCUGCCCUUGACUUUGGGAUAACUUCAGGAAACUGGGGCUAAUACCGGAUAGGAGCUCCUGCUGCAUGGUGGGGGUUGGAAAGUUUCGGCGGUUGUGGAUGGACUCGCGGCUUAUCAGCUUGUUGGUGGGGUAGUGGCUUACCAAGGCUUUGAGGGGUAGCCGGCCUGAGAGGGUGACCGGCCACAUGGGGACUGAGAGACGGCCCAGAAUCCUACGGGAGGCAGCAGUGGGGAAUAUGGCACAAUGGGCGGAAGCCUGAUGCAGCAACGCCGCGUGCGGGAUGACGGCCUUCGGGUUGUAAACCGCUUUCGCCUGUGACGAAGCGUGAGUGACGGUAAUGGGUAAAGAAGCACCGGCUAACUACGUG
Molecule: ribosomal RNA, 468 nt
Filed under: uncultured bacterium
Lineage: Bacteria
Description: partial 16S ribosomal RNA
Rfam family: Bacterial small subunit ribosomal RNA
Source: RNAcentral